GAAGGAAGCCAUGGAAAAUAGUUUCCAUCUGUCAAUCAUGAAUAGCUGGAAUACUGGUGGCCUUGCUUGUGGGGGUGGGGGACACAAAACCAGCUGGGGGAAAGAUUCCCUCUAAUGAUUUUCUGUGAAGUACAAGGAGAAAAGCCAUAAAACAGGCUUCCAAAACUGCUUCUCCAUAUGGUCAUCUGUAGAUGCAAGGUAGCUCUUCCAGGUGACUGGACGUGGAAGCUCUGGUGGUGGUUGAAAACUGAGAGUUGGUUUUUCUUUCAAAAUGGCUAAUGCGUGUAGAUGAACUAGUACCAUUUAGGCCUUUCUAGCAAGACUGUCAUAAGGUAGUGACCUAGAUAAAACACCCCACUGUCAAGACAAGCACCUUCAUUAUUCCUUUUUAGCUAGUGUGAUGGAGGGGCUUUGGAUUGGGGAGGACAAAUUUUGGUGUCUGCACAAGCCACCUUGUCUCUUGGGUGUUUAAUCUUUGAAUCCUUUCAGUCCAUGCCUGUUCUCUCUGCUCCUUCAUCAGCCUUCCUUUAACCUGGAGCAAGAGUGAACAUCUUCAUUUUGGUUGAAGUCUUAUUUCAUUUUAGACAUUCCUUCCCUGGUGGACUGUAUUGAGGGCUACUAAUUGGUGUCUCAUCUGGACCAGAUCUGUUCAGUUUAAAGCAAGGCUGCCACACUUUCAGACUUGUCCUGGGACCAAAGUAAUGUAUGGGGAGGUUCUGUAGCACCACACAAAGUAUGCUAACUAUUCAUCCUGUGACUUUUGACUAGAGAGUGAUGCUCUUGCAAUUGGCAAGUAAGAAAAAAAAGUUCCUGCCAACACAGAAUCAUUUUGCCCAAUGACAUAAUCCCUUGGUGGCAGUUUCUCUAUGUCAGGGGUCAGCAACCUUCUUCAGCGUGGGCCGGUCCGCUGUCCCUCAGACCAUGUGGUGGGCUGGACUAUAGUUUGGGGGGGAAAUGAACGAAUUCCUAUGCCCCACAAAUAACCCAGAGAUGCAUUUUAAAUAAAAGGACACAUUCUAUUCAUUUAAAAGCACGCUGAUUCCUGGUCCGUCCACAGGCCAGAUUGAGAAGGCGAUUGGGCCGCAUCCGGCCCAUGGGCCUUAGGUUGCCUACCCCUGCUCUAUGUAGAUGCUGCUUCUGUUUAGUGUUUCAACGUUAGGAUAGUUAUUAUUCCCAUUUUAAAGAUGAAAGCAUUGACUCUUACAGAGCAGUUUGCAUAAAGAUGUCCCGCUGAGUUCAAAGGUUGAAGUUGUGUUCGUGAUUCAGCUAAUGUUAUUGUGUGCUAGCACACCUAGUCUGCUUCACUUGCAUGCAGACACACACCUCUGGUGUGGUUAUGGGUUCCAACUGGGGCUGGGUGGAUGUAGGUUCCAAUCUCCCCAUGGCACUUCCUGCCAUGGUGCCCUUCCAAGCGCAGCCCAGACCUAGACCUCAUUCUGUUCCCUGGAGCCACAGGGUGACCUUGGACCCAGUCACUUUUUCUCAGCCUACCCUACCUUGCAAGGUUGUGAAGAUAAAAUGGGGCAUGGCCUUGUGUGGUUCCCUGACAUCUUUGGCAGAAUAGUGGGAUAAAAAUGCAAGCAGUAUAACCUCUUUGCCUUAAAGUCUGCCUCAUAAUGUAUGAACCAACCCAGGCACCUCCUUUGUGAGUUCUCUCCAAAAGGAGCUGUGGAGGGUGUCAACCCAGUCAGUUGUGCAGGAUACAAAUAAUAAAGUUGUUGUUGUUGUUAUUAACACGAGAGUGGGCUUCUUCAGUGGUGGCUCCCCAUUUGCAAUCUCCAUCUCUGGUUAGGGAUCAGGCCAGGAACAUUCCCAUUUUCCCUGGCUCAUUGGUUUUUAAUUGGGAGGGGAUCUUGAUAUGUCGGCAGCCCUUAAUUGUGCUCAACCUUUGGGUUGUAUGGGCUCUUGUCCCUUUUAGUUUUUUAGUUCUUGUUUGCUGCUUUUUAAAAAAAAUCUGAUUUUAAUGCCUUGGUUUCGUUUUUACUGUGCAAGUAGUCUUAGGCACGCUUGAAUGCAAAAACGUGACUGAUGGAUAUCAUUAAGAAUAAUAAAUAAGCAAUAUUUGCUAGGUAUGAUAAGCGUGGACACAUUUCCCUGAGUGGUUCAUGGGUUGUGCAGAAACUGGGAAAUUUGUGUGGGCAAGUAGCCUGGUGCGGAAGUGACCCUCUUAAUCCACACGACAGUGCCUUUGUGAGCACUGUGUGCUUGCAGCUCACCUCUAUCAACAUUCAAGAGAGCACCUUCACUUGCAGCAUCUUGGGUUUUUAAUUGGCUCAUCAGAAUAAAUAGGAUAAGCAGAAUUCGCUUGUUUCCUUUCAUGUGUUGAGCGGGGGAAGAGUGUCUGCCGUACUCAAGGUGCUUUCAGAAGCCAAAGUGGCAAUCUGUGUUUGUGUAAGAUGUGCGUAGGUUUUCUUCGUCUUUUUAAAUUCCAGUAACAAAGCAAAGCAAAAAUCACCAGGGACACACCAGUGGGUUUUUCCUUACCAAGGAGCGAUUGGUGCUUCUGAGUGUGGGAAUUGCCAGCCAGGCUUCUGAUGUUAACAUUAGUAAAGGGGAUUACCAAGACCAAAAUCUCUUAAGCUAACAUAUGCCCAAUUUACGUCAUAGUCCACAAUUUUGUUUCUUAAAAAAAGAGAGACUUGGUGGGGCUCAUAUUGACAAUGUAGAGAUGUUUUCCUGCUAUCCCUCUUAGCAAAAAAAGUUAGCCACGUUUCUCAGCAAUAAGCAAGCCUUGUUCCACCUUAGAGACGAGUAAAUUUAUUGCAUUUGCAUUAUGGGCCUGCGGUCCAUUUUAUAUAGGAUGCAUGAUUUAUUUUGGUGUGCAGGUCAAAAGCAAAUACGUACGUACACAAAAGUUUAGACUCCAAAGAAAGCUGAGAAAUGGACCAAUGUGUUUGUGUGGGGGGAGGUCCCCAUUCCAAUCCUUGGCAUCUCCAGCUAAAGUGUCUCCAAUCUGCUGGUGAUUGAAAAGGCCUCUCACUCCCUGCCUGGGACCCAUGGAGAGCUGCUGCUGGCCAGAGUAGACAACACUAGCCUAAGUGGAUAAAGACCCUCCUUUGGUAUAAUAAGGCAACUUCCUAAACUCUUGAUAAUGAAUACUUGUAGACAGAGCAGAGAAGCUGAAGUCUCUAGCGCUCCUUUUUAAGUGGGUCUUCCCCCAUAAUUUUCUUUGGCAGCUGAGCUUGAAUGGCUGUGCACAUGGCAGUCUUUCGUGCUGUGUUCUAAUCUUGUUUCUGUGCACCACUUUUUAAAAGUUUGCUUCUAAGAACCAGCGAUUAGGAAAACAGAGGAGCUGUAUGGCUUGGGUUUCCCCUCUGUAAGUUCUAAAUUGCUCUGUAUGUGUGUGUUGAGAUGGAUAUUUGUGGUGUUGUAAGGAUGGAAGGUACGUUCUAUUUUAUCUCAAGUACAGUAUUGGGAAUUUCCCUUGUCUCUGCAAAGUUACCACAGUAACCUUUAAUGUUCUUGAAAGUACAGUGUUGUGUGCAUUCCUUUUCACACAGCUAUUCACCCUAGCAGAUUUGAGAAAUCCAGAGUCUUAUAAUUUGCUCAGGCUUCCUUGGGAGUUUACAGUAUUUAUCCUUCCCUCCCGGUGCUUUCAACCAACAGAGGUGACUAGACAAUUAGGAACCAGAAUCAAAGUGUAAUCUUAAGUCUUGGUUCACUACAUUGCGACACAGUUCAUCCCACUCAAAGACUGCAGCCUUAAAACCUUUAAUUUGUGUAAGGUCCUGGCAGUUUGGCCGUGCAUGUGUGAAUGCUUAGACAACUGCUCAACAUACAAGUAAUUGGGGAGAGGGGGCCAUUCUAGAGACAUUGACAUGCAUAUCACAUACAUACCUGCAAAGAAGGAGUUUUGAGUGAAUGGAGUUUCAUGCAGCUAACUUUAACUGGCUUCUGCACACCUGUGUGUGCCUACCUGACAUUCAUCAGUGAUCAUCUCUUCUAAAAGAUGGGAAUGGCAAGACCUGAACUUGUCCAUUCUAAAUAUAUGUUCCUCACACCAUGAAAGUAAUUAUCCUCCCAAAUAACAGUGAUCAUGUCAGAGCUGGUUGGACAAAAUGCAGUUUUAUAGUGUUUGGUGCCUUGGGAAAAAGCUAUCCUCUGGGAUUUCCACUUUGCAGGGAAGAUUCUAGGCACUGGGACUAAGAAACUUGUCAAAAACCGAGAGAGAGAGCUUGCUUGCAGAGUCUGUGGGAAAGGAAUUAAAUUAUAGAGGGGAAACUUGCAGAAAAGAACAGUUAAUGGCAGUGGGAGGAGUGAACACUGAGGAUUUGCUCCAGGGACUUGCUUUUAAAUGAAGAAGUAGCCUCCUGGGUUAUGUGUAAACCUAAGUAGCCAUUUUGAAUUGCUGCAUUUGAAUGACUAGCAAUAGGGUUGUGUGCACCUUAACUAGAUCGUAUGCCAGUUUGCCUUGGGGGCAACAUCUUCAACAUCUGUAUCAGAGAUUACCGAGUGAGUGUUGGUAUGUAAAAUUUAAGAGCUACAAAAAAAACGAUUCAGGCAGUACAUUUUUGGUACUGCUUUUGGUGAUAAGACUUCCUCUAGCUUUACAGCAGAAUCCAUCAGGCUACAUGGCCUAAGCUUAGCAGGAAUACAAAGUUUUCCGCCACGCCAACAAGGCGGACCUCUUUCUGAAUUAUUGCAACUGGCCUCACAGCCAUUCUCAUAACUUAGACUAGGUGCAAUCAUGGCGGUUCUGCCUCUCCCCUCCAAAAGUGUAAAAAUAGCACUAAAAAAAGGAAGCUUGUC
Molecule: long non-coding RNA, 4749 nt
Filed under: Podarcis lilfordi (Lilford's wall lizard)
Lineage: Eukaryota; Metazoa; Chordata; Lepidosauria; Squamata; Lacertidae
Source: RNAcentral